RNAcentral lists this small RNA (900 nucleotides) under Pan troglodytes (chimpanzee). RNAcentral's name for it is "retained intron". The record is from RNAcentral. Lineage: Eukaryota; Metazoa; Chordata; Mammalia; Primates; Hominidae.
UCUAGGGUUCUCUUCCCUAGUUUUGCAUUUUUUCUGUUUUAAAAUAGGAGCAAUUUCUACGGGAGAAGGUUAAAGUCAAUGGCAAAACUGGAAAUCUCGGGAAUGUUGUUCACAUUGAACGCUUCAAGAAUAAAAUCACAGUUGUUUCUGAGAAACAGUUCUCUAAAAGGUAUUUGAAAUACCUUACCAAGAAAUACCUUAAGAAGAACAAUCUUCGUGAUUGGCUUCGAGUGGUUGCAUCUGACAAGGAGACCUACGAACUUCGUUACUUCCAGAUUAGUCAAGAUGAAGAUGAAUCAGAGUCGGAGGACUAGGCAAAGGCUCCCCUUACAGGGCUUUGCUUAUUAAUAAAAUAAAUGAAGUAUACAUGAGAAAUACCAAGAAAUUGGCUUUUAGUUUAUCAGUGAAUAAAAAAUAUUAUACUCUUGAACUUUUGUCUCAUUUUUUUGAGUAUGCUGUUUGUAUGAUUUUGAUUUCCCUCUGAUAACUAUCAACAGUAUUUAAAUAGCUUAUAGCUGGUAUAAUUUUUUCCCACGAUUUCCAAAAUCUUUUACGUACUCAGGUAAAAGUAGCGUUAUAUAGGAAAUCUUUUUUUUAGACACUCUCGUUCUGUCACCCAGGCUGGAGUGCAGUGACUCAGCUUCCUAAAUAGCUGGAAUUACAGGUGUGAGCCACCAUGCCCGGCUAAUUUUUUGUACUUUUAGUAGAGUAGGGUUUGGCCAUGUUGGCCAGGCUGGUUUCAAACUCCUGACCUCAAGUGAUCUACCCACCUCAGCUUCCCAAACUGCUGAUUAUAGCUGUGAGCCACCAUGCCCGGCCAGGAAAUCUUACUGUAGAACAAUUUUUUAUAUAGCUGUAUAAAAUGUAUAUGAUUGUCUUGACAGUCUCAAAUACUGUUUU